RNAcentral lists this ribosomal RNA (253 nucleotides) under uncultured bacterium. Its description in RNAcentral is "partial 16S ribosomal RNA". It matches the Rfam family "Bacterial small subunit ribosomal RNA", at positions 524 to 776 of the family's 1533-position model. The record is from RNAcentral.
UACGGGGGGGGCAAGCGUUGUUCGGAAUUACUGGGCGUAAAGGGCUCGUAGGCGGCCAACUAAGUCGGACGUGAAAUCCCCAAGCUCAACCUGGGAACUGCGUCUGAUACUGGAUGGCUUGAAUUCGGGAGAGGGAUGCAGAAUUCCAGGUGUAGCGGUGAAAUGCGUAGAUAUCUGGAGGAAAACCGGUGGCGAAGGCGGCAUCCUGGACCGACAUUGACGCUGAGGAGCGAAAGCUAGGGGAGCAAACGGG